This is a long non-coding RNA of Capsella rubella, 574 nucleotides long. RefSeq lists it as uncharacterized. The record is from RefSeq and is a predicted model, not a curated record. The transcript has 3 exons. Lineage: Eukaryota; Viridiplantae; Streptophyta; Magnoliopsida; Brassicales; Brassicaceae.
GUUCAAAUUCAUCUCCGAGGAAACAAAUCAAACAAUCAUAACGUUUCUUUCGAAUACAAGAGAGAUGAAAGCAGAAGCAGAAACAGAGUCUUCCACAACGUUUCUUCUCCUCUGAGAACACGAGAAAGAGAGAUCGUACCAGAAACAGAGUCAAAUCUCUCAACGUUUCUUUCUUGUGCGUUUUCUCAGUGUAAAACUCAAGUGACCAACGCAGCCAAACAUAUCAGCAAAGUCCGAAAUCGAUUUAGUGGUCCGAUUGGGAAAGAACGGAUCAAAAUUUGCGAAAGAAACUACGGAUUAGCGUCAGGUUUGUUCCAAGAAGCUUAUGAAACUGGACAACAAAAAGUGCUUGCAUACAGAGCUCACUUAGCUGCACAAGGUGGUGUGGAAUAUGUGCGCCAGUGUGAAGAUGAAUGGAAAAAGAAUGGUCCAAUACAAAAGUCUCCUGUCACUUUUUAUAACACAAAUGUUGUUAAAUUAUUUUCUAUAAUUCGUCUUAUUGUCACCAAGCAUAAGACUUAAUUUGUAGAAACGCAAAAUUCGAUUUAGUUAAAGCUUGGUUUAGUUUUACUCA